Molecule: unclassified non-coding RNA, 342 nt
Filed under: soil metagenome
Description: partial contains 5.8S ribosomal RNA, internal transcribed spacer 2, and large subunit ribosomal RNA
Rfam family: 5.8S ribosomal RNA (bases 1-119)
Source: RNAcentral
GAUGAAGAACGUAGUGAAAUGCGAUAAGUAAUGCGAAUUGCAGAAUCCGUGAGUCAUCGAAUCUUUGAACGCACAUUGCGCCCGCCAGCAUUCUGGCGGGCAUGCCUGUUCGAGCGUCAUUUCAACCCUCGACCUCCCCUUGGGGAGGUCGGCGUUGGGGACCGGCAGCACACCGCCGGCCCUGAAAUGGAGUGGCGGCCCGUCUGCGGCGACCUCUGCGUAGUAAUACAGCUCGCACCGGAACCCCGACGCGGCCACGCCGUAAAACACCCAACUUCUGAACGUUGACCUCGAAUCAGGUAGGACUACCCGCUGAACUUAAGCAUAUCAAUAAGCGGAGGA